UGCCUAUUCGUAAAAGGUGGACGUAAAACAUUCAUGCUGUAAUAAAUUGUGCUGAACUGAAGGGACUGAUGGAAUUCCGGAUUGUGUAAAUAUUUUUUCACAUAAAAACUUGGAACUCCUGCAAUAUCGAGGAUAUGUCUUUCAUAAAGGAGAAGCUGGGUAACCGGUUCCGGAAUGAUCAGAAAGAGAAUUCUCUGGAGGGAAUGCUCCGAUGCCGGCAUUUUUUUUCGGGUAAGUUCCAAGAGAGAGCCAUGGACCCAACGCUUCAAAAGGUAGGGUCCAUUGGUAACGAGAUUCUGAGGAUCUGUCCAUCUGUCGCCAUAUUUCCGGAUCAAGUCCAUUCUGACCGGAUCCGUAAUGGGAUUUGUCAACAAAGAGGGAAAAGGCGCCAUCGGAUGAGAAAGGUGAAUAACGAGCAAAUCAGGAGCUGGAGUCUCGAUGCCAACGGAAGACUCCGGACAUUUUUUUUCGUGAAAACAAGUCGCUCCGACAAUAUCAAAAAGGUAAUAGGCAUAGGGGGAUGCUGUUUCAGGACGAAGGAGACGGAGAAAAGAAUCCCGAAAGUUUGCGGAUGUUACGGGAAGGCCAUCACUCCAGCGACUAUUAUGGGAAAUAUGAAACGUAAAUGCGGUCUGAUUUGCAUUUGAGGACCAAUUGUCCGACACGUUCCCGACAACAUGCAGGUUUUUAUCAAAUUUUGUGAGUCCGGACAUCAGGUUCGCAAUCACUUCCAUGGAAAUUCCGUCCGUCGCCUUGUUCCAAUCGAGCGUCGAUGGAUCAUCGGAAAGGGCGACGAUAAAAGUAUCCUGCGAGGAAUGCGAUGGAAUUCCUUGAAAUUGAGGGGUACAAGAGAGAAGAGAAAGGAGGAUGGCAAUAGGAAAAAUUGGUAAAAACAGUCGAAAAAGCAAGAACAGUAUCCUCUCGUUUGCGGUAAUCCUCUGAUGCCGGAUGCCCAAGGAGUUAGACUACGGGUGCUAAGAUCCGUGGUCAAAAGGGAAACAGCCCAGACCGCCAGCUAAGGUCCCCAAUCCAUGCUUAGUGGGAAAGGAAGUGGAUAUCCAGAGACAGCCAGGAGGUUGGCUUAGAAGCAGCCAUCCUUUAAAGAGUGCGUAAUAGCUCACUGGUCAAGGGUAUCUGCACCGAAAAUGUAACGGGGCUCAAGCAUGGAACCGAAGCUGCGGACUGUCCGCAUGGACAGUGGUAGAGGAGCGUUCGUUCCGGGGUGAAGGAUGACCGAAAGGGCAUCUGGACCGGAAUGAAGAGAGAAUGCCGGCAUGAGUAGCGUUAAAAGACGCGAGAACCGUCUUCGCCGAAAGUCUAAGGAUUCCUGGGCAACGUUCAUCGACCCAGGGUGAGUCGGUCCCUAAGCCGAGGGGGAAACCCGUAGGCGAUGGACAACAGGUUAAUAUUCCUGUACCCGGUGGCUGGCGAAUACCAAGGCCAGAGGGGGGACGCAGAAGGGAAGGCACCGCCACGAGAUGGUUUUCGUGGUCCAAGCCCGCAGGGGGGGUCUCAGGUAAAUCCGGGACCCAUGAACCGAGAGGUGACGGGGAGCCGCGCAAGCGGCGAAGGGGCCGGGCCCACGCUGCCAAGAAAAGCCUCGCUGGAAGUGAGCCAUCGGACCGUACCGCAAACCGACACUGGUAGACGGGAGGAAGACUCCAAGGCGCAUGAGAGAACUCUCGCUAAGGAACUAGGCAAACUCGCCCCGUAACUUCGGGAGAAGGGGUGCCGACGGUGUGUCAAAGCACCGGUCGGUCGCAGUGAAGAGGGUCAAGCGACUGUUUACCAAAAACACAGGACUCUGCAAAGUCGAAAGACGACGUAUAGGGUCUGACGCCUGCCCGGUGCUGGAAGGUUAACGAGAGGGGUUAGUGCGCAAGCGCGAAGCUCUGAACCGAAGCCCCAGUAAACGGCGGCCGUAACUAUAACGGUCCUAAGGUAGCGAAAUUCCUUGUCGGGUAAGUUCCGACCCGCACGAAUGGCGUAACGACUUGACCGCUGUCUCAGCGAGAGACUCAGCGAAAUUGACGUGCUGGUGAAGAUACCAGCUGCCCGCAACUAGACGGAAAGACCCUGUGCACCUUUACUAUAGCUUGGCAGUGGGUGCUAGGAUAACCUGUGUAGCAUAGGUGGGAGGCGUGGAAGCGCAUGCGCUAGCAUGUGUGGAGCCGACGGUGAAAUACCACCCUGGUGAUUCUGGCAUCCUCACCGCGUCCCGUGAUCCGGGACCGGGACCCUGUCUGGCGGGUAGUUUGACUGGGGCGGUCGCCUCCUAAACAGUAACGGAGGCGCCCAAAGGUUCCCUCAGGCUGGACGGAAACCAGCCGUUGAGUGCAAAGGCAUAAGGGAGCUUCACUGAGAGACCGACGGGUCGAUCAGAUGGGAAACCAGGGCUUAGUGAUCCGGUGGUACCUCGUGGGAGGGCCAUCGCUCAGCGGACAAAAGGUACGCCGGGGAUAACAGGCUGAUCUCCCCCAAGAGUUCACAUCGACGGGGAGGUUUGGCACCUCGAUGUCGACUCAUCGCAUCCUGGGGCUGAAGUUGGUCCCAAGGGUUGGGCUGUUCGCCCAUUAAAGCGGUACGAGAGUUGGGUUCAGAACGUCGUGAGACAGUUCGGUCCCUAUCUGUUGUGGGCGUUGGAUAUUUGAGAGGAUCGGUCCCUAGUACGAGAGGACCGGGAUGGACUGACCUCUAGUGUGCCGGCUGUCGUGCCAACGGCAGGCCGGGUAGCUAUGUCGGGACGGGAGAACUGCUGAAAGCAUCUAAGCGGGAAACCCACCUCAAGAUAAGAUAUCCCGCCGCGCAAGCGGCCAGAAGACCCCUGGUAGACGACCAGGUUGAUAGGCUGGGCAUGUAAGGCCUGCAAGGGUUUGAGUGUACCAGUACUAAUCGGUCGAGCGGCUUGAUGCA
Molecule: ribosomal RNA, 2913 nt
Filed under: Leptospirillum sp. Group II 'C75'
Lineage: Bacteria; Pseudomonadati; Nitrospirota; Nitrospiria; Nitrospirales; Nitrospiraceae
Description: bacterial LSU rRNA
Rfam family: Bacterial large subunit ribosomal RNA (bases 711-2911)
Source: RNAcentral